RNAcentral lists this ribosomal RNA (572 nucleotides) under uncultured bacterium. RNAcentral describes it as "bacterial SSU rRNA". It matches the Rfam family "Bacterial small subunit ribosomal RNA", at positions 79 to 645 of the family's 1533-position model. The record is from RNAcentral.
CUUGCUUCUUCUUGAGAGCGGCGGACGGGUGAGUAAUGCCUAGGAAUCUGCCUGGUAGUGGGGGAUAACGUCCGGAAACGGACGCUAAUACCGCAUACGUCCUACGGGAGAAAGCAGGGGACCUUCGGGCCUUGCGCUAUCAGAUGAGCCUAGGUCGGAUUAGCUAGUUGGUGGGGUAAUGGCUCACCAAGGCGACGAUCCGUAACUGGUCUGAGAGGAUGAUCAGUCACACUGGAACUGAGACACGGUCCAGACUCCUACGGGAGGCAGCAGUGGGGAAUAUUGGACAAUGGGCGAAAGCCUGAUCCAGCCAUGCCGCGUGUGUGAAGAAGGUCUUCGGAUUGUAAAGCACUUUAAGUUGGGAGGAAGGGCAGUAAAUUAAUACUUUGCUGUUUUGACGUUACCGACAGAAUAAGCACCGGCUAACUCUGUGCCAGCAGCCGCGGUAAUACAGAGGGUGCAAGCGUUAAUCGGGAAUUACUGGGCGUAAAGCGCGCGUAGGUGGUUCGUUAAGUUGGAUGUGAAAUCCCCGGGCUCAACCUGGGAACUGCAUUCAAAACUGACGAGCUAGA